Molecule: ribosomal RNA, 813 nt
Filed under: Xanthoparmelia californica
Lineage: Eukaryota; Fungi; Ascomycota; Lecanoromycetes; Lecanorales; Parmeliaceae
Description: partial large subunit ribosomal RNA
Rfam family: Eukaryotic large subunit ribosomal RNA
Source: RNAcentral
CAGUAACGGCGAGUGAAGCGGCAACAGCUCAAAUUUGAAAUCUGGCUCCUUCGGGGUCCGAAUUGUAAUUUGUAGAGAGUGCUUCGGGCGAGACCUCGGUCUAAGUCCAUUGGAACAUGGUGUCAUAGAGGGUGAGAAUCCCGUAUGCGACCGUGGCUCGAGCCCAUGUGAAGCCUCUUCGACGAGUCGAGUUGUUUGGGAAUGCAGCUCAAAAUGGGUGGUAAAUUUCAUCUAAAGCUAAAUACUGGCUGGAGACCGAUAGCGCACAAGUAGAGUGAUCGAAAGAUGAAAAGCACUUUGGAAAGAGAGUCAAACAGUACGUGAAAUUGUUGAAAGGGAAGCGCUUGCAACCAGACCUGCCCGUAGGCGAUCAGCCGCUGUUCUCAGCGGUGUACUCGCUCUGCGAUCAGGCCAGCAUCGGUUUCGGCGGUCGGAUAAAGACCUUGGGAAUGUAGCUUCCCUUCGGGGAAGUCUUAUAGCCCUCGGUGUAAUGCGGCCAGCCGGGACCGAGGACCGCGCUUCGGCUAGGAUGCUGGCGUAAUGGUUGUAAGCGACCCGUCUUGAAACACGGACCAAGGAGUCUAACAUCUAUGCGAGUGUUUGGGUGUCAAACCCAUACGCGGAAUGAAAGUGAACGGAGGUGAGAACCCUCAAGGGCGCAUCAUCGACCGAUCCAGAUGUCUUCGGAUGGAUUUGAGUAUGAGCAUAGCUGUUGGGACCCGAAAGAUGGUGAACUAUGCCUGAAUAGGGUGAAGCCAGAGGAAACUCUGGUGGAGGCUCGCAGCGGUUCUGACGUGCAAAUCGAUCGUCAAA